GCCCGCAUAGUGUAUUGGCAGCACGCCAGGCUCAUAACCUGGAGGAGGAGUGUUCGAAUCCCCUGCGGAGCA
Molecule: transfer RNA, 72 nt
Filed under: Letharia lupina
Lineage: Eukaryota; Fungi; Ascomycota; Lecanoromycetes; Lecanorales; Parmeliaceae
Description: Letharia sp. SA-2008b tRNA
Rfam family: tRNA
About the family: Transfer RNA (tRNA) molecules are approximately 80 nucleotides in length. Their secondary structure includes four short double-helical elements and three loops (D, anti-codon, and T loops).
Source: Rfam by way of RNAcentral